GGAGAACUCAAUAUUUUAGUGGAUGUAAAGAACUUUCAAAAGUUGCUGAAAUUAUGGUUACGAAGACAAUGCACACAUCUUACCCAUUGGUUUAUCGGCUCAUUGAGCUAACUUUGAUACUUCCGAUGGCCACGGCUUCAGUUGAGAGGGUGUUUUCAGCUAUGUCCCUUAUAAAGACAGACUUGCGUAACAAAAUGGGGGAUGAAUGGUUCAAUGACUUGAUGAUAUGCUACAUUGAGAAGCAGAUAUUUAGAAGCAUUGGUAAUGAAAAAAUCAUGCAACAUUUUGAAGAGAUGAAAAAACGCCGUAUGUUGUUGCCUAAACAGAAUUUAGUGAUUGCUCCUCAUGAAGAAUAAUGGGUAUCAAGUAGGUGUUUGGUGUGGAGAAAUUGUCGAUUUGUCUUUGGCUACUUUUUCAACAUGUAAUUUGUAUUAUUCCUCUCUGUUUUUAUAUAUGCUACUUUGAACUAUGAUGCUGCUCUAUUAUGAGAAUUGAGAUAAUAUAAUUGUUGGUUGCGU
This is a long non-coding RNA of Panicum virgatum (switchgrass), 518 nucleotides long. RefSeq lists it as uncharacterized. The record is from RefSeq and is a predicted model, not a curated record. The transcript is spliced from 2 exons. NCBI's taxonomy places the organism in Eukaryota, Viridiplantae, Streptophyta, Magnoliopsida, Poales, Poaceae.